AUACGUAGGUGACAAGCGUUAUCCGGAUUUACUGGGCGUAAAGGGCGUGUAGGCGGUCUUGCAAGUCAGAAGUGAAAUUCCUGAGCUCAACUCGGGCGCUGCUUCUGAAACUGCAGGACUUGAGUGCUGGAGGGGAUAGCGGAAUUCCUAGUGGAGCGGUAAAAUGCGCAGAUAUUAGGAAGAACACCGGUGGCGAAGGCGGCUAUCUGGACAGUAACUGACGCUGAGGCGCGAAAGCGUGGGGAGCAAACAGGAUUAGAUACCCUGGUAGUCCACGCCGUAAACGAUAAAUACUAGGUGUAGGGGGUAUCGACUCCCUCUGUGCCGCAGUUAACACAAUAAGUAUUCCGCCUGGGGAGUACGGCCGCAAGGUUGAAACUCAAAUGAAUUGACGGGG
This 397-nucleotide ribosomal RNA is filed under the name uncultured bacterium. Its description in RNAcentral is "partial 16S ribosomal RNA". It matches the Rfam family "Bacterial small subunit ribosomal RNA", at positions 523 to 918 of the family's 1533-position model. The record is from RNAcentral.